RNAcentral lists this ribosomal RNA (354 nucleotides) under uncultured soil bacterium. RNAcentral describes it as "bacterial SSU rRNA". It matches the Rfam family "Bacterial small subunit ribosomal RNA", at positions 26 to 385 of the family's 1533-position model. The record is from RNAcentral.
AGAUUGAACGCUGGCGGCAUGCCUUACACAUGCAAGUCGAACGGUAGAGUAGCAAUACUUGAGAGUGGCGAACGGGUGAGUAAUAUAUCGGAACGUGCCCAGUCGUGGGGGAUAACGUAGAGAAAUUUACGCUAAUACCGCAUACGAUCUAAGGAUGAAAGCGGGGGACCGUAAGGCCUCGCGCGAUUGGAGCGGCUGAUAUCAGAUUAGGUUGUUGGUGAGGUAAAAGCUCACCAGGCCGACGAGUCUGUAGCUGGUUUGAGAGAACGACCAGCCACACUGGGACUGAGACACGGCCCAGACUCCCUACGGGAGGCAGCAGUGGGGGAAUUUGGACAAGUGGGCGAAAGCCUG